This 357-nucleotide long non-coding RNA is filed under the name Vicia faba (fava bean). Lineage: Eukaryota; Viridiplantae; Streptophyta; Magnoliopsida; Fabales; Fabaceae. The record is from RNAcentral.
AUGGGAUGGUUAAGAGAUUAUCUAUGGUUAAAUUCUUCACAACUUAUCAAUGGAUAUAACCCCUUUGGUAUGAAUAGUUUAUCCGUCUGGGCGUGGAUGUUCUUAUUUGGACAUCUUGUUUGGGCUACUGGAUUUAUGUUCUUAAUCUCAUGGCGCGGAUAUUGGCAGGAAUUGAUUGAAACUUUAGCAUGGGCUCAUGAACGCACACCUUUGGCGAAUUUGAUUCGAUGGAGAGAUAAACCUGUGGCUCUUUCCAUUGUCCAAGCAAGAUUGGUUGGAUUAGUCCACUUUUCGGUAGGUUAUAUAUUUACUUAUGCAGCUUUCUUGAUUGCCUCUACAUCCGGUAAAUUUGGUUAA